RNAcentral lists this transfer RNA (73 nucleotides) under Hildenbrandia rubra. RNAcentral describes it as "tRNA-Arg". It matches the Rfam family "tRNA". Rfam says of the family: Transfer RNA (tRNA) molecules are approximately 80 nucleotides in length. Their secondary structure includes four short double-helical elements and three loops (D, anti-codon, and T loops). The record is from RNAcentral. Lineage: Eukaryota; Rhodophyta; Florideophyceae; Hildenbrandiales; Hildenbrandiaceae.
GCGUUUUUAGUUUAAUGGACAAAAACACCAAUCUUCUAAAUUGAAUAUACAGGUUCGAAUCCCGUAAAACGCA